RNAcentral lists this ribosomal RNA (440 nucleotides) under uncultured bacterium. RNAcentral describes it as "partial 16S ribosomal RNA". It matches the Rfam family "Bacterial small subunit ribosomal RNA", at positions 338 to 795 of the family's 1533-position model. The record is from RNAcentral.
CCUACGGGAGGCUGCAGUAGGGAAUUUUGCGCAAUGGGCGAAAGCCUGACGCAGCAACACCGCGUGAAUGUUGAGCCCUUCGGGGUGUAAAGUUCUGUCUAUAGGGACGAAUUUUGACUGUAACUAUAACGGAUGGACCGGCUAACUCCGUGCCAGCAGCCGCGGUAAUACGGGGGGUGCAAGCGUUGUCCGGAAUCAUUGGGCGUAAGCCGUUCGUAGGCGGCAAGGUAAGUCUGAUGUUAAAGCCCGCGGCUCAACUCCGGUUCGGCAUUGGAUACUAUCGAGCUAGAAUGUGGUAGAGGUAAAGGGAAUUCCUGGUGUAGCGGUGAAAUGCGUAGAUAUCAGGAGGAACAUCGGUGGCGAAAGCACGUUACUGGACCAUUAUUGACGCUGAGGAACGAAAGCCAGGGGAGCAAAUGGGAUUAGAUACCCGGGUAGUC